RNAcentral lists this small RNA (2264 nucleotides) under Pan troglodytes (chimpanzee). RNAcentral's name for it is "retained intron". The record is from RNAcentral. Lineage: Eukaryota; Metazoa; Chordata; Mammalia; Primates; Hominidae.
AAUCUGCAAGAGUUGGCACAUUAGUGAAAAGCUGUUUUGCAGUUAGAUUCUCUUGAGAUACUACCAGUUCACAUGGCAAUUUUCUAUUUGUGUUUGACAAAAAUGUUAACUAUUAUAUCUUUAAGACUAUAGAAUUUAGAUUUAUUAGAUGAAGUAAAUUAGUUACAUACGUGAAUAGAUUUGUUCUUGAACUGUUGUUAGAGUAAUGUAUUCUGGUUCCUUCCAAUAACUUAGGUGACGUUGGCAUGUAACACAUACUGGUCUUUCCAGUGAUUGUUGUGUAUCCACUGUACGUCAGACAUUGUUGUGGACCUUUAUACUGGGAUUUCUGAUUAUCCUCCUGGAAAGAAUUAAUAAUUACUCCUUUUAAAAGUAUCUAUUUACUUCUUUUGUUUUUUUUUUUUUGGACUUAUAGUUAUAUUUAUUUCUUUUCAGAUUUAGAAGAACAAUAUAUAAUUUUAAUUUUUCAAAAUGGCCUUGAUCCUCAGGCAAAUAUGGUAUUUGAAAGUAUCAUUAAUGAAAUUGGUAUAAAGAAUAACAUCUCCAAUUUUUUUGGGAAAAUUGCCUUUGAAGAAGCUAAUGGCAGACUUGUUGCCUGUACAAGAACCUAUGAAGAGAACAUCAAAGGAAGUUGUGGGCAAAAGGAAAACAAAAUUAAAAGUGUAAUUAUGUUUUUUAAUUUAAAAAUAUUCUUAAAUUGUGGGUAGUUUUAAAGGGAAAUAUGUUUUAUUUUAAUACUGUUCAUUUCAGUGUUAAAUCUUUUUAAUUUUAUUUCAGAAUUACUUACUUUUAUGUGUGAUUUGUAAACUACCUUGUGUCAAAACAGUGGUGGGUAGGUGCCAAAUACCACUUGAUACAGGUCUCAGAAGCAUUUUUGGUUCCUCCCCAUUCUAUCCUUAUCUUUACUUUUCAUCAUCAUUUUUUCUGUCAUCCUUUUUUCUUUAUACCCUACUUCCAACAUAUAUAUGCACACACUGCUACAUUCAAAUGGAUUGGUUACCCUGUGUCUUACGUUUGAAGAAAUUGUGGUCCGUGGUGUACAUUUGUAUGUAAUAUAGGCAUAUAUGGUUGAAAACUUGAGAGAUGAAGAAUACAUGCUAUUUGAUCUUUAUUGUCAAAACAUGUAUCUAGUACUAAAAUAACUAUUCAUAUAGGUAGGUAACUCGGAAGCCACCUGAAGCAAAGGCCACAAUACUACUAAACACAUAGUAUAAUGGUAAAUAAUACAAACAUAAUUUUAAAACUCUAAGUUUAUUUCCUGUUACAGCAACUUAGCUUUGCUGACCUAAUUUAUUGGGAACAAAUCUCUCACACUGCCUACAAACUUGGAAAUAUGGCUAUCCACAGCACAAUCUUGGUGAUAGUUAGCAAGGACUCCCCAGAGAAGAGCUGUAAAUAUAGUUAAGUGGGUUGAGAAAAGAACAAAAGAAGAAAGGGAAAUGGUUCUUUUUCUUUUGCAUAGUUUGCAUGGGAGACAGUGCCAGAGGAAGAAAAGAGCAGCAUAAUGCCACUGGGAUGGACUCAAACUUCAAAGGAAGGUUCUUUCCUCCAAGGAACCCCUGUUUCACUUAGCUUUAUGGAGGGCUGAAACUCAUUAGACUGUGUUCCCUGAGCCUCUGCCCCUACAUCUUAUAGAUUGCCUAGCCAUUGAACUAAGAGGCAAAAACCACUUUGGUUUUUUUGAAAGGUUAUUUGAAUUUUACCAGCAUUAUUUAAUUUCAUGUAGAUAGUAGAGAUCUUAGAGAAGUAAGAUACUGGAAAAUUACUGUUACAUAAGUUGGGAGAGUAUCACUAUCUAGAAGCUACAGAUAAUAAAGUGGCCCCUAGUUUUGCCUGUUUCUUGUUUUUAAUUGUUAAGUAUCAUGCAUACUUUUUAGUUCCACAUUUUUAAUCCUUUUGCAUUGAAAAGCAUUCUUGCCUUGUGCUUACCCUUUUUACUGAAACUUUUCCUAAUUGACUGUAAAUUGCUAAUUUAAUUUCCUUUACCAGGUAUCAUUUGAAUCUAAAAUACAACUUAGAAGCAAACAAGAAUUUCAGUUUUUUGAUGAAGAAGAAGAAACUGGAGAAAACCACACCAUCUUCAUUGGCCCAGUAGAAAAGUUGAUAGUAUAUCCACCACCUCCAGCUAAGGGAGGCAUCUCUGUUACCAAUGAGGACCUGCACUGUCUAAAUGAAGGAGAAUUUUUAAAUGAUGUUAUUAUAGACUUUUAUUUGAAGUAAGUUAAUUUUCCACUGAUCUUUUAUUAAAUCUUUAACAUUCCGUC